GAUGUCUUACCGCAUGCUUUGUUUAUAGAAAGUCAGUUCAGGUGAGAAAAUAUGACUAAUGUGAAUGGUGUUGUCUGUCAUAUCAUUUUAACCACUGAGUGUUUUUAUGCAUCAUGUUUAAUUUCACUUGUUGCACUUAUGUAAUUGCAUUGCUAUAUAGAACUCUUUCUGUGAUGUAAUGGCACCCCUUGUGUGGAACGUAAAGAGCUACUAGAAUCCUUUUUGAUAAAUUUUGUGUAAAAAUGUAGGUUUCCAUAUUUAGCAGUAGUUAUUGGGCAGUGGCCGAACUACCGUGAUCGCAGCGGUCGCAGCUGCGACCGGACCUGUCACUCCAGGGGGCCUGGCCACCCUGCUUACCCCAGCGACUGCGGCACCCGCCGGCUAAGUAAGCUGGCCCGCGCAGUAUAACCACCGGGGCCGCAUUGAAGGGGCCUAUUGGGUUGCUGUUAGGGCCACCCGAUGGCAAUGUAUUUCCAGGUGGCCCGGUCAGUGCUGCGGCACUCUAUCAGCGCGACUGGGCCCCCUGAGCAGGGAGGAAGUGGGAACAUCAGCCUGAGCCCACCACUGGACCACAGGGAAGUCACCCCCAUGCAUCUAAAAGGUAGGAAAAAGGAGGGUGACUAUAUAUGUGUCUAUAUAUUUUUUUAUAUGUGUCUAUAUAUGUGUGUGUUUGAAUGUAUGUGUGUGUGUUUGUGUAGGUGUGUCUGUAUAAAUGUGUGUCUGUAUGAAUGUUUCGCUGUAUGUGUGUCUGUACCUAUGUGUGUGUAUGUCUGUGUGUGUGUGUGUGUGUUUGUAUGUCUGUCUGUGUGUGUCUGUGUGUGUGUGAGUCUGUAAGUAUGUGUCUGUAUGUGUGGGAGGGGACAUAUGGGAGGGGGAGGAUAGAAGUAUGGGGGUGUGGCAGGGUGGGAACGUAUGGGAGGUGGAGUAUAGACAUAUGGGGGAGUGGUGGAGGGGUAGACGUAUGGGGGGGGAGGGGCAGGGCAAUUUUUAGCACCGUGGCCCCGUGGUUUCUAGUUAUGCCUCUGUUAUUGGGUUCCCCCUUUAAAGCCUAUAAAAUAAAGUAGGACCAGCUACAGGAAGAAAUAGCUGCAAAAAUACAUCAACCAUGAGAUGUUGGAGUACAUCAAGUGUGGGAGUAAUUCAGAAAUUCAUUAAAAGGUGGGAUUUUAAUAAACAAAAAACCCCAUUAAACAUUAAACAUUAAACACUAUGUAUUAAUGUUACUGGGAAGAUUCACUAUGUUUCACAUCUACAUAAGGCCUUGCCUUCUCCCUCCUAACCAGCUCUACCAAUUGUAACAGAAAAUGACUUCCGAAAGCAAUGUUCUCUAAUCUGAUAAUUAAUACAUAUGGCACAGGAUGCAAAACUGUUUGAGAUUAAAACGUGAAAAAAACACAAACAAGUUAUGUCGAAAACAACUAGGAAUCCAACUCUGGUGAGCCAUUCAUUUACAAACGUAUUUUGACAAAAUAAUGACUAAUAGAAAGGAAAUUGCACAAAGUACGGGCUUUUCUGGAGAUAAUCCUGCAUCCUUCUUCAACCUCAAAAAUUUGCAUCUGCAUGUUAAAUGCACAUUUAAAAAAUCAUAAUAUCAUGAAAGCUAUCUAACUCCAAGAUAUGUAAAGUUAUUUCUCAGAAUCACUGGGGUCAUACAAACGUAUAGCGAAGAAAGGGAAAGGAAAAAUUAAUAGUCCAACAAGACAAUUGUCACCAUCCCUGAUGUCUCCCCUCAAACACCCAACAACUUCUCCAUUAACCCAGAAUGCCAGUCAUCCAGUCUCGGCAGUACCCUGGUGGGAUUUUAAGAUGGCCGCAUCGACUAUACAUUGGAUCGGAACCUUUUUAACCGGGUGCCAAUUGGAUGCCAUGUAAAUCAUGAGUGGGUGAGCUGUUCAGAGAUAUGCUGAAUGUGGGGGUUCUGGGAAUCCAUCACACGAUCUGGAGACAAGUCAAUGGGGGAUUGCCUCUUAUUAGACCAGAAAGAGUGGCGCCGGGGAGACAAAUGUCUUUGUUUUGCUGAAUGCCCUAUAUUAUUAAAAUGAUAAAUACUGGGUGUUUGUAUUAAUAAUGUGUAUUUUGUUUUCAUCCUUCAUCAAGCCUUGGCUGAUAUCUAAGGAAACUACUGUGUGUUAUGAUCACUCUGGACGAGCUAUAUAAAGGAGGGAGACUAGUGGAGAUACUUUGAGUACGAGAGCUCCGUUACAAGCAUUUAUCAUCCUAAUCUUUAACGUCUCAUCAGGAAUAAAAAAAACUACUACGACAAUUUAUAUUUAGGAAAAAAACACCAAUACCUGAAAACUCCAAGAUGCUAAUUUUCAUUAGAAUGAUUACAAUGGCACAAAGUCUGAUUUGUGAUAUUUCUCAAGAGACAGUAAUAUAUUUAUCAAUACAUAGAGCUUGAAACAGAAACAUAGUUAGCAGUCUACAAUAAAAGUGGAAGAUGAUUCCUUUAGAUAAUGGGACUAAACAGAAGUGGAAAAAAGAAACAGGUAAUAAAAAGAGUUGCGUAAGGUAGAAGAAGCAUGGCAACAGAUAAAAUGUGUUUGUGAAUCAGCAGGAUUCCAGUUUGUAGAAUGCAGGGGAUUUAUUGCUCUGUGUCUAUUCAAAUCUUCACAUUGGGAAUAAUCCAAUGUAAAUGUUUAUCUUUGAAUGUUUAUAGGAUGGAUAGAGGAGCUUCCUGAUACCAAGAUUUAGCUGGUCAGAAAAAACCUGAAAACGGAUAUCAGUGGACAUAGUGAGGGAUAAAACAAGGUACAGUAUUUCAGUAUCAAUUUUUACUUUUACUGCUCAGUUUACAAGGCAAAUCCAAGUAUAUGGUCACAGAUGUUCUGAACAUCUGCUGGGUUUUAGAUGAACCUCAAGAGUGGACCGUUGCCAGGAGGUGUGUGGCUGAGAAUGAUAGGAGGUGUAUUACAAGUGGAAUGGAACCCAAGAGCUCUGAAUAUUUUUAACCACUUGCUGAAACACCCUCGGUUGAUCUACUUUUAAAAAAAAUAAAUACUUUUAUGAGAUAAGUUUAAUCUCAUGGACACGGACACAAGCCAACACACAACACAAUGCCAAAUUUUAAAUUGAUCAUGAACACUUAAAGGGACAUUCUGAUUACCAUAAACCAUGAUUUUAGUGGUCAUGGAACAAAGAGGUCAUGGUACCUUCAACCAAAUCUAUGUAAGACUUUUUGGGAGCUAUUUGGUGUAAACUGGGGCUAUGUCCAGCCUGUGUCCUCUCACCCAUCAAACCAUCUCCAACGUGUAUGGCAGUGAUAAGCUGAGGGAACUAGGGACUGAUGCUACUUAAUUUUUGUAAGGUUAUCUAGCUUCAAAAAAACAGGGAUUUUCAAAAAAGGAAUUACAAUUGGAUGCUAUAAAUCUUUCAAGACAUUUAGAGGAUUAAUUAAUUAAUUUCUACCUGUUGAGCAAGGAUUACUUUACUUUCUUGAGAAUGUCUAACUUUCUCCAAACAGAGAUCUUAUAUCUUAUGCCAUCUUUCCCAGAUAGAAGCACUUCAGAAAAAUGUUUUAGGAAAUUCAAAAAAUCUAAAGAAGCCUUGUGAUUUCUAAAUCAUAAAUUAAAAACUAAGAAAUGUUUUGACAAUAUCUGACCUCUUGCUGUCUCGAGAUAUGUUCACUUUAUCAUUAAAGCACUUUAGCCAUCUAGGAAUGUAGCAAGGAAUAUAAUAUGUACCUGGUGAUCGCUUCCUCAAAUUGUGGAGGUUUAGAACAAUAAAGUUAAAAUAUCAUAACCAUUAUAGAACCCCAUGUCCACAAACCCCAAGUGAGUCCUUUUAGAAAUGCUUCAUAAUGGAGUCCAAACGGAGGUUAAUUUAUUUGUCAUGUUUUAUAGGGAGUAAAAUAGCAAUUUUAAUAAAUGCUUAAAAUGACCCAAACAAACAUGAGUGGCAGAGAUUAUAAAAAAAAUGAAAAUGUAGAUAGUUAAAAUGUUUAAUUUCUUAACAUAUUGUCUAGGAAACAAAAUGCAUCUUUGGGAUAAAAAUAAUUUUGCUAUAUUAACAUCUAAACAGGAAAGCAACUAUUAUAAUAGAACAAUAUAUAAAUUAUAUGAACAAAAGGCAUAUCAAAUGAUAGGAAAAAGAGACAAAAUGGUGUGAGAAAAUCACUCAGACUCUAGUUGACUGGUCCAAUGGGAUCACAGAUAUCACCUGAAUCCUGAAAUAUCUAAAAGCCACGAUAGACACUCACAAUUUGGGCAGCCUGAAACAUUCUCUUUUCUAUGUAACUAUUCACUGUGUUUACAAUUUACACCAAAUCAUGGCACUCUAGACAACAUAACUACUACAGCAAGCACAAAUGAGUCAUUAUCUCUCUCACCUUAUCCUGUUUUGUAUAUUGCAAUUUAGAGUGGUUGCUCUGUUAUAUGUUUUACAAUAUGUCUCACGUUGCUCUUUUUAUUUCCUAAAAUAUUGUUUUAAAUAAAUGAAAUACGUAAAAAUAAAAAAAUAUCACAGGAAAUGUUAAACAGUGCUCACAGUAUUAAAAUCUGUUUUUUUUUUUGGUUUUUUUUAAUUUCUGGAAAUUCAGGACUCUUAACAAAUGUCCAUCCUUUCUAACGGCAAAACAAGAAAAACCAGAUCCAGUUCUGACUGGCCAAGCCAUGUCCUCUCUACAUAAAGCUGAAAUUUCCACUGUACAUUUACGGUAACACGAACAGGAUGUCUGAUAGAAACUACCGGGAAAACCAGUUUUUCUUGAGAUCGUAUAACUGUGACCUUACUUCAUUACUUCCUCAGGAAAAGGAAAAUAAUUAUUUUGUAUUCAUUAAUUACCACAAUUUAAG
Molecule: long non-coding RNA, 4793 nt
Filed under: Pelobates cultripes (western spadefoot toad)
Lineage: Eukaryota; Metazoa; Chordata; Amphibia; Anura; Pelobatidae
Source: RNAcentral